RNAcentral lists this ribosomal RNA (726 nucleotides) under Thermococcus sp. Dex80a75. RNAcentral's name for it is "bacterial SSU rRNA". It matches the Rfam family "Archaeal small subunit ribosomal RNA", at positions 43 to 767 of the family's 1478-position model. The record is from RNAcentral. Lineage: Archaea; Methanobacteriati; Methanobacteriota; Thermococci; Thermococcales; Thermococcaceae.
ACUAAGCCAUGCGAGUCAUGGGGCGCCUUGCGCGCACCGGCGGACGGCUCAGUAACACGUCGGUAACCUACCCUCGGGAGGGGGAUAACCCCGGGAAACUGGGGCUAAUCCCCCAUAGGCCUGAGGUACUGGAAGGUCCUCAGGCCGAAAGGGUCUCUGACCGCCCGAGGAUGGGCCGGCGGCCGAUUAGGUAGUUGGUGGGGUAACGGCCCACCAAGCCGAAGAUCGGUACGGGCCAUGAGAGUGGGAGCCCGGAGAUGGACACUGAGACACGGGUCCAGGCCCUACGGGGCGCAGCAGGCGCGAAACCUCCGCAAUGCGGGCAACCGCGACGGGGGGACCCCCAGUGCCGUGGCAUCGCCACGGCUUUUCCGGAGUGUAAAAAGCUCCGGGAAUAAGGGCUGGGCAAGGCCGGUGGCAGCCGCCGCGGUAAUACCGGCGGCCCGAGUGGUGGCCGCUAUUAUUGGGCCUAAAGCGUCCGUAGCCGGGCCCGUAAGUCCCUGGCGAAAUCCCACGGCUCAACCGUGGGGCUUGCUGGGGAUACUGCGGGCCUUGGGACCGGGAGAGGCCGGGGGUACCCCUGGGGUAGGGGUGAAAUCCUAUAAUCCCAGGGGGACCGGCAGUGGCGAAGGCGCCGGCUGGAACGGGUCCGACGGUGAGGGACGAAGGCCAGGGGAGCGAACCGGAUUAGAUACCCGGGUAGUCCUGGCUGUAAAGGAUGCGGCU